GUGAAUCAUCAAAUUUUUGAACGCAGAUUGCACUCUCCGGUUUUCCGGGAGAGUAUGCCUGUUUGAGGGUCAGCCUAAAAAAAAUCGACAUUGUUGCUGUUAUUUAAUGGUGACUUUCGUCGGAGAUUGGGUUAUCUUAAACCUUUUUUUUUUUUUUGGUUUAAGCGACUUAAAUUUUUUCUUCCCGUUUCCUUAAACGUUUCUAAGUUUUUUUUUUUUUUUACGUUUAAGGUUUUUCGAUCUUUUUUUAGACUUACCC
This 259-nucleotide unclassified non-coding RNA is filed under the name Glomeraceae sp. Its description in RNAcentral is "partial contains 5.8S ribosomal RNA and internal transcribed spacer 2". The stretch from base 1 to 72 matches the Rfam family "5.8S ribosomal RNA", at positions 84 to 154 of the family's 154-position model. The record is from RNAcentral. Lineage: Eukaryota; Fungi; Glomeromycota; Glomeromycetes; Glomerales; Glomeraceae.